GCCCACUAGAAGAAAAAAUGGCAAGUUUUGGGAUUUUUCCGAUAAGUUGAAUAGGAGGAAAAAAAGCAUGGGAGAGGUCUGUCAGCUUUAUGGACAUGAACAGCAUCCCACUGAAGGAAUAAGGUUUGAACUUUUCAGAUUGCUCUCCCAUUUUCACAGUAGCAAACCCCUACGAUGGAAACUUCAUAUACUCUUAGAGAUUUUUUGAGCAAGGGGUAUGGAAGACAGAAAAAGGAGAAUACAAAUACAGCCGAUAAAAGGAGGUAGACCCAAAAAUAAGGGAAAAAAUUAAAAACACUUUGGAAAGUACUUACCUACUAUGGACACAGGAAUAGUCUGAUCCAUCCUCACAAUAUGACAUUGGUAGGUUUUUGAAAGUCAUUGCUGAAAUGGGAACAUUUUCAUGUACUGCUGUAACAGUCUUAGCUUUUUGACUCUACAGAAAUAUUAAAACCUAUUUUCAUUUGAAAUGUAUGUUGGCUUUUCUUUUUCAUUGAUAAAUUGAUAGCUCUUAGGUCAUUGAGUGUAUCCUUAGUCACCUCGAUUGGUGAUGCAGUGCCACAGCCUUGAUUUUGUUUUGUCAAUAGUCAGAGACUUCCUUUAGCUAAAGUCUUGGGAAUGUGCUUUAUUGAUCAAGUAAUAGCUGGAUGAACCAUUAUAAACCCAUCAUUGCUACUGGAAUGACAGCUCAAGAGAAAUGAUCUACCAGUACAUGUGAUACAAAGGUCUGUACAUUGAAGUUAUUUAGCCAACAAGGUAACAGCUAUUUACUUGAAAUUGUUUCAAAAUGACA
Loxodonta africana (African savanna elephant) is the source of this 793-nucleotide long non-coding RNA. RefSeq lists it as uncharacterized. NCBI's taxonomy places the organism in Eukaryota, Metazoa, Chordata, Mammalia, Proboscidea, Elephantidae. The record is from RefSeq and is a predicted model, not a curated record. The transcript has 3 exons.